GUGGGGAAUUUUGGACAAUGGGCGAAAGCCUGAUCCAGCCAUGCCGUGUGCAGGAUGAAGGCCUUCGGGUUGUAAACUGCUUUUGUACGGAACGAAAAGACUCCUUCUAAUAAAGGGGGUCCAUGACGGUACCGUAAGAAUAAGCACCGGCUAACUACGUGCCAGCAGCCGCGGUAAUACGUAGGGUGCAAGCGUUAAUCGGAAUUACUGGGCGUAAAGCGUGCGCAGGCGGUUAUAUAAGACAGAUGUGAAAUCCCCGGGCUCAACCUGGGAACUGCAUUUGUGACUGUAUAGCUAGAGUACGGUAGAGGGGGAUGGAAUUCCGCGUGUAGCAGUGAAAUGCGUAGAUAUGCGGAGGAACACCGAUGGCGAAGGCAAUCCCCUGGACCUGUACUGACGCUCAUGCACGAAAGCGUGGGGAGCAAACAGGAUUAGAAACCCCAGUAGUCC
This 450-nucleotide ribosomal RNA is filed under the name uncultured bacterium. RNAcentral's name for it is "partial 16S ribosomal RNA". It matches the Rfam family "Bacterial small subunit ribosomal RNA", at positions 354 to 796 of the family's 1533-position model. The record is from RNAcentral.